AUGUGCGCGAAGUAUGGUGGCUUCGGCCGAGAGGACGACCUAUUUGGGACGAUUGUGCGGCUUCGUGCUGCAUCUCAAUUGGACCUGAUAUCAGGCAAGAUUACCCGCUGAACUUAA
Molecule: ribosomal RNA, 117 nt
Filed under: Phytophthora cryptogea
Lineage: Eukaryota; Oomycota; Peronosporomycetes; Peronosporales; Peronosporaceae
Description: partial 28S ribosomal RNA
Source: RNAcentral